RNAcentral lists this long non-coding RNA (448 nucleotides) under Prunus dulcis (almond). RNAcentral's name for it is "sRNA ncRNA". Lineage: Eukaryota; Viridiplantae; Streptophyta; Magnoliopsida; Rosales; Rosaceae. The record is from RNAcentral.
AUGCAUGAAGCUGCUAUGGCUGCUGUUGAAGAGAAACUAACGUCACUUGCGAGUUGGGGUUCAUCUCCAUGCAUAAUCAAACAAACUCACUUUGAGCAAGCACUGACUAAAAUCACACCCUCUCUAAGCGACAAGGUAUAUGUAUAUAUAUAUAUAUAUGGAUCAAUUUUGUCAUUGUUUUAUAUGUAUAUCCUUGAAGAAAUAAUUCUUUCUUAUUUUAAUUCUUAUUUGGCCCUAAGACCAAGACUUGAAACUCUUUAAGAUUCCGUUUUCCAUUGCUUCUCUGGUGCAGGAUUUGCAAGACUCUGAGAAUUUCCGAAAGCAGCAGGGCAAAUGGACUUCAAAAAGGAAAGCAAGAAAAGGAGAACAUGUUUGUCAAGAAUGUCCUUACCGAUUUUUCUUUUAUUUUUAUUUAACUAGCUUUAUUUUAAGGUUUUUAUUUUUUUAA